AAAUAACAACAAAUAGUGUAAAGCAGGCCAGCCCUUCCAACAGUAUUUGCCUAACUUCUAAUUAGCCUACAAAAGAAAGGAUGUCUAGAAAAGUGUUUUUAUUUAAAAUGACAGUCAUACAGUUUUCAUACAUGUAUACAGGAACCAAAAAGUUAUAUAAAGUGAGUAAGUAUUCUGCUAGCUUUUUGUUUGUUUACUAAUUGCUAAGGUGGCAUGCCUACACUAAACUAAUUGAAACACUCCUUUAAUUCUUGUCAAUUACAUUAAUUUGUUUUUAAGUUCAAACUCCAAAACAAAUCCACAACAAGAAGUCACAAUUGGAUUGUAAAUUCACAGGAUAUAUUAAAAGGAGAACUAAAACAAAAGCAUAUGAUAAUCUAAUAAAAAGAGAAAACUAAACCUUCUAACUGUUAAAAUUUAUGUAACAAAUUUAAUGGUUUCAAAAAAGGUUCACAGUGAGUUUAAGGGCAAAAUAAUACUAUAUGUAAUUUAUAAUUAUUACCAUUUGUACCUUUAUGGUUUCAAUUUAUUGAGCAUUGUUUUAGCCUUCAAAAACUGCAAGUCUACUAUAUGUAAAUUAUUUUCAAUAUAACUCCUGACAUUAGUAGUUUAAUAUAAGAAUGUUUCAAAAAAAAGAAUGUUUCAAAUGAAUUCUUGAUACUUAACUGCAUAACAUGAAAUAUGAACACUAAAUUCAUCAUCAUAUCUGGAGACACAGAAGUCUUCAAUACCAAAGUUACUUCUAAUAUCAAAAAGACAAACAGGAUAUAAUAGUCAGCAUCUUUACAGUCAGCUUCAAAGGAAAGCAAAGAUAUUCAGAAUUAAUUAGAAUAUGUUCGGUUUCCAUCUGACAACUGUAUGAAUUGAUCAACUGUCCUUGCUCCUUCUCUUCAUUUUCUAACUUGGAAGUCAGUGGCUAAUUUUGUCUGAGUUAAAGUGCUUACAUAAGAGUUUCAUUGCUUUACAGAAUUACCAAACACCCGCCUGGAGUUUCAGUUGAGUGUCAAGAUUCCAAAAAGGCAAAAGUUCCAUGUCCUCAAGCUGAUUACUUUCAAGUGAACUGCAGAAUCACCAAAGAGCUUGAUCCUGGAGUAGAAGAGAGGUUAUGAAACCAAAGUCAAGGAUAAUUUUCCCUCGGCUGAGUGCACAACCAGCAGGACAACUGACCAAGACAGUAUUACUGUAGGAAGAGGCAGAGUCACAGAAAAGUCCCACUUCUGAUGAGCUCCUAAAUGCUGCUUUGAACACACCUAUUGUAGUGGCUUCCACACGCAUGACUAAGAACAGAAUGUACAACAUCAAGUGUGAUAAAUGUACAGAUUGCAUUUUGCGUGAUAAUAAUUGGACAAAGUGAAUCAUUCUAUCAAAUGCAGCACUCUAAUAAAGACCAUGAUUGACAAGGAGAGGAUACUAAGGUUGCCUCAGAUACCUGUCUAGCACCAUGUCUGCCUGCAUGCUGCCACAUCCCACCAAGAUGAUAAUGGACUGAACCUCUGAACUGAAAGUCACCCACUUAAAUGUCUUCCUUUAUAAGAGUUUCCAUGAUCAUGGUAUCUCUUCACAGCAAUAGAAACCCCAAACAAGACAAAUGCUUAAACAAAGCAACAGAACAUCGAUUUCACAAAUAAUAGUAAUUGAAAUCAUUAACAAAUCUGAGUCCUAAGGAUGAUAUGAAAAACCCUGCAAGUACUACUUUCAAAUUUACUAAUUCACAUAUAAAAAAUCCUUAUUUUAACAUCUUGUGGACAAAUAUACAAUAAAAUAUUGAGUAAAAAAGAUAUUGUCCUCUAAUAUAUUUUUCAAUAUUUAUUUACAAUUAUUAGCGUGUGUCUGUGUGUAUACUAUGCCUGUCUGUCUAUCCCACACAAGUGCCACAGUAUGUUGAUGUGAACGUCAAAGAACAACUUGGGGAAGUAGGUUCUCUUCCAUCAUGUGGAUUCUGUCAUUAAAUGCAGGUUGUCAAGCUUGGGAGCAAGUGCCUUAACCUACUCAGUCAUCACACUGGCCUGCUAGCAGACUGCAAAUCACAUUACUGAUGAAGAAAACUCAACCUCCA
Molecule: long non-coding RNA, 2056 nt
Organism: Alexandromys fortis (reed vole)
Lineage: Eukaryota; Metazoa; Chordata; Mammalia; Rodentia; Cricetidae
Exons: 3
Source: RefSeq, a predicted model, not a curated record